GACGAACGCUGGCGGCGUGCUUAACACAUGCAAGUCGAACGGAAAGGCCUCUUUCGGGGGGUACUCGAGUGGCGAACGGGUGAGUAACACGUGAGUAACCUGCCCUUGACUUUGGGAUAACUUCAGGAAACUGGGGCUAAUACCGGAUAGGAGCUCCUGCUGCAUGGUGGGGGUUGGAAAGUUUCGGCGGUUGGGGAUGGACUCGCGGCUUAUCAGCUUGUUGGUGGGGUAGUGGCUUACCAAGGCUUUGACGGGUAGCCGGCCGGAGAGGGUGACCGGCCACAUUGGGACUGAGAUACGGCCCAGACGCCUACGGGAGGAAGCAGGGGGGAAUAUUGCACAAGGGGUGGAAGCCUGAUGCAGCAACGCCGUGGGCGGGAGGACGGCCUUCGGGUUGUAAACCGCUUUCGCUCAUGACGAAGCUUUGUGUGACGGUAGUGGGUAAAGAAGCACCGGCUAACUACGUG
This 467-nucleotide ribosomal RNA is filed under the name uncultured bacterium. Its description in RNAcentral is "partial 16S ribosomal RNA". It matches the Rfam family "Bacterial small subunit ribosomal RNA", at positions 28 to 507 of the family's 1533-position model. The record is from RNAcentral.